Molecule: long non-coding RNA, 785 nt
Organism: Alnus glutinosa
Lineage: Eukaryota; Viridiplantae; Streptophyta; Magnoliopsida; Fagales; Betulaceae
Exons: 3
Source: RefSeq, a predicted model, not a curated record
GAAAUUUGACCCACAAUAUAUAAGGCACUAUCACAUCCUGCCAAUUUCAAUAUAAUUCCAGAUCUUGUACACCUUGACAGAUUCUAGCUAAUAUCGUUAUACCGACCAUGUUUCAUUUUUCCAGAUGCAUAAAGGUAUGUUUAUAUAACAUUAGCAAAGGUAUGUUUAUAUAACAUUAGGAAAGGACGAUUUGCUUUUUCAACAUUCAAUGAUCUAGUUUUUUUUUUUUCUUUGUUCUGGGGUUCUCUUUGAAUGGACUAGGAUUUGAAGACAACUAAAAUUGGAGCAGGCUUAGGCUGGAAAACCUUGCAUCUAGAACAUUAGCAAAGGCCCGAAAAAAUGUCAGUAAAUAGUGAUGCGUCAAUACCCCAUCCAUUAUGUUACUGUGGAGUGCAUGCACGUUUAAGGUACUCAUGGACUAGUGACAACCCCGGAAGAAAGUGGUACGGUUGUAUAAAGUAUAAGAAAGAUGGGGAUUGUGAUUUUUUUAUGUGGGCUGAUAACCGAAUGACUUCUUAUGAGAAGAGAUUGGAGGAACAUAUGAGAGACAUAGAGGAAGGGAGACGGGCUGAUAUUGAGAAAGUUGAGAAGAUGACAAUGGCCAAUAUUGACAGACUUGAGAAACUAAUUGAAACAAGACACAACGAACAAUAUGAGAGACUUCGGUUGGAGUUUGGUCUUAAUAGAAAGAUGUUUUGGGCAGCAGUAGUUGUAAUCAUUUUGGGCAUUGUAAUUUAUUUUAGUAGUUAUAGCAGUUCUGAAGUUAGCUACUUGAUGUUAGAAUG